This 508-nucleotide ribosomal RNA is filed under the name Anaerostipes hadrus. RNAcentral describes it as "bacterial SSU rRNA". It matches the Rfam family "Bacterial small subunit ribosomal RNA", at positions 1033 to 1533 of the family's 1533-position model. Lineage: Bacteria; Bacillati; Bacillota; Clostridia; Lachnospirales; Lachnospiraceae. The record is from RNAcentral.
GACAGGUGGUGCAUGGUUGUCGUCAGCUCGUGUCGUGAGAUGUUGGGUUAAGUCCCGCAACGAGCGCAACCCCUAUCUUUAGUAGCCAGCAUUUCAGGUGGGCACUCUAGAGAGACUGCCAGGGAUAACCUGGAGGAAGGUGGGGACGACGUCAAAUCAUCAUGCCCCUUAUGACCAGGGCUACACACGUGCUACAAUGGCGUAAACAGAGGGAAGCAGCCUCGUGAGAGUGAGCAAAUCCCAAAAAUAACGUCUCAGUUCGGAUUGUAGUCUGCAACUCGACUACAUGAAGCUGGAAUCGCUAGUAAUCGCGAAUCAGAAUGUCGCGGUGAAUACGUUCCCGGGUCUUGUACACACCGCCCGUCACACCAUGGGAGUCAGUAACGCCCGAAGUCAGUGACCCAACCGUAAGGAGGGAGCUGCCGAAGGCGGGACCGAUAACUGGGGUGAAGUCGUAACAAGGUAGCCGUAUCGGAAGGUGCGGCUGGAUCACCUCCUUUCUAAGGAA